Molecule: ribosomal RNA, 425 nt
Filed under: uncultured cyanobacterium
Lineage: Bacteria; Bacillati; Cyanobacteriota
Description: bacterial SSU rRNA
Rfam family: Bacterial small subunit ribosomal RNA
Source: RNAcentral
GGGGAAUUUUCCGCAAUGGGCGAAAGCCUGACGGAGCAAUACCGCGUGCGGGAGGAAGGCCUUUGGGUCGUAAACCGCUUUUAACAGGGAAGAAGAUCUGACGGUACCUGUUGAAUAAGCCUCGGCUAACUCCGUGCCAGCAGCCGCGGUAAGACGGAGGAGGCAAGCGUUAUCCGGAAUUAUUGGGCGUAAAGCGUCCGCAGGUGGCCUUUCAAGUCUGCUGUUAAAGCCCAGGGCUCAACUCUGGAUCAGCAGUGGAAACUGAAAGGCUAGAGUACGGUAGGGGUAGAGGGAAUUCCCAGUGUAGCGGUGAAAUGCGUAGAUAUUGGGAAGAACACCAGUGGCGAAGGCGCUCUGCUGGGCCGUAACUGACACUCAUGGACGAAAGCUAGGGGAGCGAAAGGGAUUAGAUACCCCUGUAGUCA